Molecule: ribosomal RNA, 253 nt
Filed under: uncultured bacterium
Lineage: Bacteria
Description: partial 16S ribosomal RNA
Rfam family: Bacterial small subunit ribosomal RNA
Source: RNAcentral
UACGUAGGGUGCAAGCGUUAUCCGGAAUUAUUGGGCGUAAAGAGCUCGUAGGCGGUUUGUCGCGUCUGCUGUGAAAACCCGAGGCUCAACCUCGGGCCUGCAGUGGGUACGGGCAGACUAGAGUGCGGUAGGGGAGAUUGGAAUUCCUGGUGUAGCGGUGAAAUGCGUAGAUAUCUGGAGGAACACCGGUGGCGAAGGCGGCAUCCUGGACCGGCAUUGACGCUGAGGCGCGAAAGCUAGGGGAGCAAACGGG